Solanum lycopersicum (tomato) is the source of this 747-nucleotide RNA transcript. RefSeq lists it as uncharacterized. Lineage: Eukaryota; Viridiplantae; Streptophyta; Magnoliopsida; Solanales; Solanaceae. The record is from RefSeq and is a predicted model, not a curated record.
UGUAUUACCCAUUGAUCGGAAAAAAACUGAAAUCUUGGGAAUUGUAUAGCGAAUCGAUCGUCUGAGAGAGCGAAGAUGAAUUCAAUGGUGGCUUUGGGGAAGAAAUUCACGAGAAAUAUUCAAGAUAACAAACGCAGAUUGUUGUCUGCUAAGUAUGAAUUGAGGCGAAAGUUGUAUAAAGCUUUUGUUCAAGAUCCUCAACUUCCACCUGAAAUGCGAGAAGCUCAUCAGUACAAGCUUGCCAAGUUGCCCAGAAACAGUUCCUUUACGCGAAUCAGAAAUCGGUGCAUUUUUACUGGUCGACCUCGUGCCGUUUAUGAAAAGUUUCGAAUGUCUCGUAUUGUUUUUCGUGGUUUGGCUGCUCGUGGUGCUUUGCAAGGUGUAAAGAAAGCUUCUUGGUAGACAAUACAAUACCCAGGAUUUCUUCUUUUCAAGAUUUAGGAGUAUUACUACUGGAUAUCAUAUACUAAAGCCUAGUAGAUUACAGUGGGACAAGGUUUUCUAUUUCAGGAGUUGUUGCCAGCUUUUUCAAAUAAAUCAUCAUGUUACAAUCUCUAUCUCGUCCCUCAUCCGGAGUUUGGCUAUGCCAAUAUAUUUAUCUCCAUCUUUGCUUCAAGAUUUCUUGAUGUUCUUAAUCUGCUUGGUAGAACCUUGCUAAAGCUUUUCACUGUCUUGGAACUUUUGAUUUAUGAGCAGACCUGUACUCUAUUUCCAGCUUUGAAGUUUGAACUAAUUGCUUAUCAGAUA